UUACUCUGGUUUCUCUUCCAAUCCCAUAAAUCUUUCACCUUUUACUAAAGAUUUCCAUGAAGAAAAUACUUAGGUGUUUAUUAUAAUUGUAGAAAAUGAAAACUCAUGGUUAAUG
Sapajus apella (tufted capuchin) is the source of this 115-nucleotide small nuclear RNA. RefSeq annotates it as U5 spliceosomal RNA. The record is from RefSeq and is a predicted model, not a curated record. NCBI's taxonomy places the organism in Eukaryota, Metazoa, Chordata, Mammalia, Primates, Cebidae. The transcript has a single exon.